Molecule: ribosomal RNA, 396 nt
Filed under: uncultured bacterium
Lineage: Bacteria
Description: partial 16S ribosomal RNA
Rfam family: Bacterial small subunit ribosomal RNA
Source: RNAcentral
AUACAGAGGGUGCAAGCGUUAAUCGGAUUUACUGGGCGUAAAGCGCGCGUAGGUGGCUAAUUAAGUCAAAUGUGAAAUCCCCGAGCUUAACUUGGGAAUUGCAUUCGAUACUGGUUAGCUAGAGUAUGGGAGAGGAUGGUAGAAUUCCAGGUGUAGCGGUGAAAUGCGUAGAGAUCUGGAGGAAUACCGAUGGCGAAGGCAGCAAUCUGGCCUAAUACUGACACUGAGGUGCGAAAGCAUGGGGAGCAAACAGGAUUAGAUACCCUGGUAGUCCAUGCCGUAAACGAUGUCUACUAGCCGUUGGGGCCCUUGAGGCUUUAGUGGCGCAGCUAACGCGAUAAGUAGACCGCCUGGGGAGUACGGUCGCAAGACUAAAACUCAAAUGAAUUGACGGGG